CCUGCCCCUAGAGGCAUUGCAGGUGUGGCUGCUGUGUCACAUGUGUGUCAGUAGGUGGCAGAAAGGAAAGAGGCAAUGUCUACAGUCAGUGUUCUAACCUAUGGACAUCUGAUUAGUAGCCUACAAGU
Small nucleolar RNA from Grammomys surdaster, 128 nucleotides. RefSeq annotates it as small nucleolar RNA SNORA17. Lineage: Eukaryota; Metazoa; Chordata; Mammalia; Rodentia; Muridae. The transcript has a single exon. The record is from RefSeq and is a predicted model, not a curated record.